UGGUGUUGGCGGUGCUGCAAGUCAGGAUGAUCCCCUCACCCAUCAAGAGAAGUCAGUGUACACCGAAAGGCUUGAAAUCCGGAAACCUGGCAUCGAAAAUAUUGCAAAGUCCGAUCAAUUUCAAGCAUUUUUGGAGGAAACUGCACAUGGAAAAAACAUCAAAGUGGCGCCAUGUCAUGUCAACGAAGAACAGGGGCGGAUCAUCAUUAAGCAGGGCACGCUUGAGGCUUUAGAGUUUAAGGUGGAUGUGCUAGUGUGUCCAGUCUCCAAAACGUUGGACCUGAGUAAUGGCGUGGUGGCAAAGGCUCUGUCUGAAGCUGCUGGAACAGCUUCAUGUGGGAGGAAAGCCCGAACUGAUGCGAGUCUCAGACGUUUACCACUUCGGUGAA
Molecule: long non-coding RNA, 389 nt
Organism: Haliotis rufescens (red abalone)
Lineage: Eukaryota; Metazoa; Mollusca; Gastropoda; Lepetellida; Haliotidae
Exons: 3
Source: RefSeq, a predicted model, not a curated record